UGUCUCCUCCACCUUCCGAAAGGGUGGAUUCGGCCCAAGGCAGCAAUGCCUUGGGCUCUUUUC
RNAcentral lists this non-coding RNA (63 nucleotides) under freshwater sediment metagenome. RNAcentral describes it as "Betaproteobacteria toxic small RNA". It matches the Rfam family "Betaproteobacteria toxic small RNA". Rfam says of the family: Overexpression in amino aid rich medium attenuates growth, suggesting role in repressing amino acid intake and metabolism. The record is from Rfam by way of RNAcentral.